CCUACGGGUGGCAGCAGUAGGGAAUCUUCCACAAUGGGCGAAAGCCUGAUGGAGCAACGCCGCGUGGGUGAAGAAGGUCUUCGGAUCGUAAAACCCUGUUGUUAGAGAAGAAAGUGUGUGAGAGCAACUGUUCACGUUUCGACGGUAUCUAACCAGAAAGCCACGGCUAACUACGCGCCAGCAGCCGACGUAAUACGUAGGUGGCAAGCGUUAUCCGGAUUUAUUGGGCGUAAAGGGAACGCAAGCGGUCUUUUAAGUCUGAUGUGAAAGACUUCGGCUUAACCGGAGUAGUGCAUUGGAAACUGGGAGACUUGAGUGCAGAAGAGGAGUGUGGAACUCCAUGUGUAGCGGUGAAAUGCGUAGAUAUAUGGAAGAACACCAAUGGCGAAAGCAGCUCUCUGGUCUGUAACUGACGCUGAGGUUCGAAAGCGUGGGUAGCGAACAGGAUUAGAUACCCUUGUAGUC
Molecule: ribosomal RNA, 465 nt
Filed under: uncultured bacterium
Lineage: Bacteria
Description: partial 16S ribosomal RNA
Rfam family: Bacterial small subunit ribosomal RNA
Source: RNAcentral